GUUCAAAUGACGAGUUCCAAAUAGGACGAAACGCGUGUCCUGGAU
RNAcentral lists this non-coding RNA (45 nucleotides) under Schistosoma haematobium. The record is from RNAcentral. Lineage: Eukaryota; Metazoa; Platyhelminthes; Trematoda; Strigeidida; Schistosomatidae.